CCUACGGGAGGCAGCAGUGGGGAAUAUUGCACAAUGGGCGCAAGCCUGAUGCAGCCAUGCCGCGUGUGUGAAGAAGGCCUUCGGGUUGUAAAGCACUUUCAGCGGGGAGGAAGGCGUUAAGGUUAAUAACCUUGUCGAUUGACGUUACCCGCAGAAGAAGCACCGGCUAACUCCGUGCCAGCAGCCGCGGUAAUACGGAGGGUGCAAGCGUUAAUCGGAAUUACUGGGCGUAAAGCGCACGCAGGCGGUCUGUCAAGUCGGAUGUGAAAUCCCCGGGCUCAACCUGGGAACUGCAUUCGAAACCGGCAGGCUAGAGUCUUGUAGAGGGGGGUAGAAUUCCAGGUGUAGCGGUGAAAUGCGUAGAGAUCUGGAGGAAUACCGGUGGCGAAGGCGGCCCCCUGGACAAAGACUGACGCUCAGGUGCGAAAGCGUGGGGAGCAAACAGGAUUAGAUACCCGGGUAGUC
Molecule: ribosomal RNA, 465 nt
Filed under: uncultured Klebsiella sp.
Lineage: Bacteria; Pseudomonadati; Pseudomonadota; Gammaproteobacteria; Enterobacterales; Enterobacteriaceae
Description: bacterial SSU rRNA
Rfam family: Bacterial small subunit ribosomal RNA
Source: RNAcentral